UCGAGCGGAAACGAGUUAUCUGAACCUUCGGGGAACGAUAACGGCGUCGAGCGGCGGACGGGUGAGUAAUGCCUGGGAAAUUGCCCUGAUGUGGGGGAUAACUAUUGGAAACGAUAGCUAAUACCGCAUAAUGUCUACGGACCAAAGAGGGGGACCUUCGGGCCUCUCGCUUCAGGAUAUGCCCAGGUGGGAUUAGCUAGUUGGUGAGGUAAUGGCUCACCAAGGCGACGAUCCCUAGCUGGUCUGAGAGGAUGAUCAGCCACACUGGAACUGAGACACGGUCCAGACUCCUACGGGAGGCAGCAGUGGGGAAUAUUGCACAAUGGGCGCAAGCCUGAUGCAGCCAUGCCGCGUGUAUGAAGAAGGCCUUCGGGUUGUAAAGUACUUUCAGUCGUGAGGAAGGCAAUAUAGUUAAUAGCU
Molecule: ribosomal RNA, 420 nt
Filed under: Vibrio sp. ini10
Lineage: Bacteria; Pseudomonadati; Pseudomonadota; Gammaproteobacteria; Vibrionales; Vibrionaceae
Description: bacterial SSU rRNA
Rfam family: Bacterial small subunit ribosomal RNA
Source: RNAcentral